AAUUGAUAAACAUUAUUGUGCAGUUAACUUCAUAAAGUAAUUUUCAUUAAUCAUUAAUGGAAUUGUAUUAACUUAUAAUGUUUUAAUGCGACUCUUAUUAUAAGUAAAAAUAUACAUGGAAUAAGAAAAUAUUGAGUCAUCUUGUCUAUUAAAAUAGAAAUCAUUACUUUUUCAUGUGCAAUUUGUUUUGGAUCAUCUCUUGAAAAUUUAUUAAAUGUUAAUUUUGUAUUACCUAAUAAUAUAGGUCCAUUUAGGCCCGUUCAGGCUUAAUGACGACACCUCGAAUUCCCCCCCCCCUUUUUUCUCUUUUAAAUGCACCGAGAAGUUGAAACGUCGGAAAGUUGGAGCGGUUGGUUGAUGAGUCGCACGGCGUCGUUCUCUCGGAAGCGAGCAGUAGAGGCUUUAUCGCUCCUUUUGAUCGUUGUGUCGCAUGGAGGGUUCUGGAAUAUUUCCGCUUGAGGCCGAUUAGUCGUGGAUAAUCAGAUCCCGAUUGACAUAUCUAGGUUAACUGUUGGUUUAUUCUGAUUUUAAGAUGACCGACGUCCGAUUUAGACGAGAAGCCGAACCGUCGCGAGGGUCCGCUGGACAUUUGGGAGAGUUUCAAGGCCCAUUUAGGCCCGUUUAGGCUUAAUGACGACACCUCAAAUUCCCCC
Molecule: long non-coding RNA, 653 nt
Filed under: Brassica napus (rape)
Lineage: Eukaryota; Viridiplantae; Streptophyta; Magnoliopsida; Brassicales; Brassicaceae
Description: long non-coding RNA (BNAP_LNC019533)
Source: RNAcentral